RNAcentral lists this ribosomal RNA (460 nucleotides) under uncultured bacterium. RNAcentral's name for it is "partial 16S ribosomal RNA". It matches the Rfam family "Bacterial small subunit ribosomal RNA", at positions 338 to 795 of the family's 1533-position model. The record is from RNAcentral.
CCUACGGGAGGCAGCAGUGAGGAAUAUUGGUCAAUGGGCGCAAGCCUGAACCAGCCAAGUAGCGUGAAGGAUGACUGCCCUCCGGGUUGUAAACUUCUUUUAUAAAGGAAUAAAGUGAGGCUCGUGUGCCUUUUUGUAUGUACUUUAUGAAUAAGGAUCGGCUAACUCCGUGCCAGCAGCCGCGGUAAUACGGAGGAUCCGCGCGUUAUCCGGAUUUAUUGGGUUUAAAGGGAGCGUAGAUGGGUUGUUAAGUCAGUUGUGAAAGUCUGCGGCUCAACCGUAAAAUUGCAAUUGAUACUGGCAGCCUUGAGUACAGUUGAGGUAGGCGGAAUUCGUGGUGUAGCGGUGAAAUGCUUAGAUAUCACGAAGAACCCCGAUCGCGAAGGCAGCUUACUAAGCUGUGACUGACACUGAGGCUCGAAAGUGUGGGUAUCAAACAGGAUUAGAUACCCUUGUAGUC